UAACAAGUUGUCGAAUUCUUUCCACAGACCAACAACAAAGUUUCCAUCAUGAAAGUCGUCUUAAUUCUCGCUAUCGUGAUCGUUGCAGUAUAUGCCGAGGUCUGUACAACUGGUCCUAGAGACUGCUCACUAACGAUGUGUCCCACGGGGGCGGAGCUUCACUGUGUGGACAGUCUGUGCACGUGUACUACACCAGCCAUAGGAAGCGGAGCCUGCAGCACGGGACCUGAUUGUCAUGAGAGGUGCCCGCAGGGACGACCCCAUUGUAUCGAUGGUCAUUGUAGAUGUGGACAUCAAUAAAUGAUUAUUCUUAAAACUUGUUUUUCCUUUUAGAUUUUGUAAGAGAAACUGGAAUGAAAUGCAAACAGCAGCGAUCAUUUGUUGUCAUAAAUUCUUCGCAUUGGUAACUUCAAUCAGUAAAUAUCUACUGAGCGUACAUGUCUUUACCUAUUGAUCACUUUACAUUGGCGAAUACCUAAUCAACUUGAAUGUUUAGCUAAUUUCACUUUAAUUAGUGAAUGUCUACUAAACAAGUUUGAGUUUGGCUAUUGGUAAUUUUCAUUAGCAAAUGUCUUUUGAACGUAUAUGUGUUUAGCUAUUGUUCAUUUCAAUUAGUUAACAUUAGUCACCUCAUCACAGGUAU
Ostrea edulis (European flat oyster) is the source of this 643-nucleotide long non-coding RNA. RefSeq lists it as uncharacterized. Lineage: Eukaryota; Metazoa; Mollusca; Bivalvia; Ostreida; Ostreidae. The record is from RefSeq and is a predicted model, not a curated record. The transcript has 3 exons.